GAAAUUGUGAAAUUACUUUUUCUUAUUCAUUUGCGGAUUCCAAAUAAUAAAAAUAGAAUCGAAGGUCGGCGUUCCUUUAUUGUAAGAGAUAAUGAGAACGAUGAUAAUUAAACAACCGCUAAUUAUAAUCUUAUCGAUUGCUAAUGAAUUCAUACUGACGUGAAUUAAUUUUCAUUUGUUUCCUUCCCCUUUCCUCUCGUUGUCACGUAUUUCUUCGAUGCUUCGACAAGCUCAAAUGGAAAUGGUGAUUCAUGAGACUUUCAUGAAUGAAACAAUGAUUAUAAAAUCGAAUGGAAUACGAGCAAUGAAUCCAGGUACCAACCUUCUACUGAUCUACACUGACCGUCUACACACUGACCUUGACUUACUUAAAAAUCCAAUAAAUAAAAGUGAAUUCUUCAGUUAGAUCAAGAUAUAUAUCAAGUUAGUCAUCAUCAUUGCACAUACAGUGAAGUUCAUCCCACCGUACCAACUACGCUAUUUUUAUCAAAC
Molecule: unclassified non-coding RNA, 492 nt
Filed under: Bombus terrestris (buff-tailed bumblebee)
Lineage: Eukaryota; Metazoa; Arthropoda; Insecta; Hymenoptera; Apidae
Description: misc RNA ENSBTSG00005038440.1
Source: RNAcentral